GACCGGAAGGAUGGCGAGGAAGUAGGAGAGGGUUUCCUGAGAUGAAAGAUUACUUCCGUCCGGGCUCUGGCCUCUCUCUGGAGCCGGCUCAUUGGGGGCAGGGGAGCGGGGUGAGCGGGACUCGGGGGCCGCGCCUUACCACCUUGCAGCGCCCGCAGCGGGCGGGACGCGCGCGGCCCUGUCGGGGGGCUAACGCGGGGGUAUUCUUGCAGGUGGGAAUCGAGAGCAUUUCCUCGAGCCCAAGCCAUGGUGGCCAAACAGCGGAUCCGGAUGGCCAACGAGAAGCACAGCAAAAACAUCACCCAGAGGGGGAACGUAGCCAAAACCCUGAGGCCACAAGAAGAGAAAUACCCCGUGGGACCAUGGCUGUUGGCACUGUUUGUUUUUGUCGUCUGUGGUUCAGAGGGUCCAGAUGCACAGCCGUCCUGCGUCUGCCCCAGGUGGAUAUAACCUUGACCUAGCCACGGGCUGCUUGCUGACGGGGCCACCCGGCCCUCCAUCACCUUACUCUUUUCUGGACCUUGCUCCAGAACAGAUUUGAAUUCACCAUGUCUGCGGGUCAACCAAUAAACACUGGCCUUUCUUGGACACCUCCAGAACGAUCUGGAAAUUGUGACAACCACUUUGGGUGUGGUUGCAACAUGGCCAUACAGGCCAUGAGACUGACUGGCCAGCAGGGUGUUUGAGAGACAGAGCAGGCCUGGAGGAGACCUUCCGUUUCACCACCGAGGAUGGACUGAGGACAUUCCUCUGCUCAGGAACUCCUGCCUCAGGAUCUGAGAUGGACACUCUGGAAAAGAUGUCUCAUCUGCCACUGGCUCCCACGAGGUGACCUGCGACCUCCCUCAUACUGUGCCGCCCUCUGCCCUGUGCCCCAUGGGGCAUUUGGGUUCGUGUAUGGUCUGCCGCUCAGAAGAGCGUUUCUGCUGUCUGCCAUUUUACUGGGGAUAGAGGGCAUCCCAUUCUUUGCUAAUAAUAUCCCUUCUUUCCACAGUGCCUUUCUGCCCUCAUGUAGCACCCCGGACCCCUCUCCAUCUUCCCUCUUCUCUGUCUCUGGAGAAGCUACCAGGAAAUGCUACUGGGAAUAGUCUCCUGCUUUUGACUCUCUUUGUGCUGACUCUUCUUGAGAGCUUAAUGACUCACCUUUGCAAUGUCUUAUUUCUUGACAUUUCUACUUGUCUUUCACAGAACCUGUAGUUUUUCUUACCAGCUUUUUUUUUCAUUUUUUAAAUGAAAAAUAAUCAAAAUUAUGUCAUUUCUAGAGUUGUCUUAUCCUCCUAAAGAUAUUCUUCUGGCCUGUCUCAAUCUCUCUUCUCAGUAACUCUCUCAAUCUCGCUUGUCAUCAACCUUAUUUUCAAUACAAGUGGACUUCUGAAGCUUCCUGCUAUCUGGCAGUCAGCCCUCUGGCAGCCUCCUCUCUAGCUGUCUGACAGUUUCCUCGGGGAUCCCUUCCUGUCAUCCCCGUGUCCUUCUGGCACUCCCAGUUAGCGGCAGUAGUUCAGUCCCAGGGUAAGAAAGGGUUGGGACUGUGUCAUCCCCACAGUCCCAGGACUUAAGGAGUUUAUGGUCUUUCGUGAUUUUCCUUCCCCUCCAAAGACUGGGCUCUUACAACAUUGGAAUUUAAAAGUAGUCAUUUGAUGUUGACUCUUGGUUCACAAAAUAAUUGUUUGAGGUUUUUAAUAUGUGUUUUCCUCCAUGCUUUUUGCAAUUAUUCACCUUUUGUUCCUCCAGUAAAUAUUCACUGAGGAACUACUAUGUGCCUGGAGCUGAGCUAGGCCCAGAGGUAUAGUCGGGAGCAAAAUCAUCCAAGGUCCCAGGGUGCCUGGUUGGCUGAGUCGGUUAAGCAUCCAACUCUUGGUUUUGGCUCAGGUCAUGAUCUCAGGGUCCUGGGAUCGAGCCCCAUGUCAGGCUUCACCCUCAGCGGGAGUCUGCUUGGGUAUUCUUUCCCCUCUGUAAUCCCCCCACCCUUGCAUUCUCUCUCUCUCAAAUAAAUAAAUAAAUCUUUAAAAAAAAAUCAUCCAAGGUUCCUGCUUUCCUGGAGCUCACAGCCUAGUGGGGAAGCAAGAUGAGUUCACCAAGUGGUCAUGCUGAAACGUGAAAUUUCAGCCAUGACAGUGUUUGAAAGAGAGGCAUGUAAGGCUGUGAAAGCAUAUAACUCAAAGUGCUAGUAUCCUCUGGGUAAGUGGUUCUCCAAGUGGGGUCCCUAGACCAGUAGCCUCAGCAUCACCUGUGACCUGGUUAGAAAUACACAUGCUCAUUUCCCACUCUGGACACACUGGAUUCGAAACUGGGGGUGGGGUCCAGCCUCUGUUUCCACACAUCCUCGGGAGACUAUCGUAAACAUGCAGGUUUGAGAACCCUUGCUUCAGAUGGUCAAAGAAGGCCUCUCUGCAGAUAAAACUUUUGGAUUAGAAAGGAAAACUAGGCAAUAGGGCAGGGUGGGAGAAGUCUUUCAGACAGAAAGCAUGGCAUGUGCAAAAGCCCUGCAGUAAGAGCGGAGAGCUUUUGAAAACACAAGGAAUUACUCCAAGAGAGGAGAGUAAUACAAGAUGCGUCCAGAGAGGUUGAUAGGGCCGGGAUAUGAAGGUCAUGGGGGUCUCGACAAGGAUUGGGCAAUAGGAAGCUUUUGGUGUGCUUUAAACACACGGAUGACACGAUCUUAUUUGUUUUCAUUUAAAGAAUAGUUCUAGCUACAGUAUGGAGCAAGGACCGAAGAGGAGCAAGAGUAGACCUGUUGGAGGGCAUCGCAGGGGUCUGGGGAAAGAUGGCAGGAACUUGCACUAGGGGGGUUGCCGGAGGCAUGGAAAGAAAGGUGCACAAUCGCAAGAUCCUUAGGUAAAGUCCACAGGUCUUGGGGAUCGGUUGGAGGUGUCAAGAAGGACUCUGGCAUUUGGGUUUCCCUGCAAGAUGGAGGAUAAUGAUCCUAAGUUUGGCGGUGGGAAGAGAUCAUGACAAGGUCCUGUUGUGUUUGAAGUGUCUUUGAGCCACCUACGUGUGGAUCUCCGUUAGAUGGUGGAAGGUGUGGGUCUGAAGCUCUGAGGAGAAGUCAGAGCUGGCAGGACACGUAGGCGAGUCAUCAAAAGCUAAGUGGCAACUAAAAUUGUGGGCCAGGGUGAGGUCACCUAGGGAGAAAGAAUGUAGUGAACAGAAGAAAGCCAGAAUGCUCAUCGAGGAGGAACAUUAUGCUUGUUUACUGGUCAGGUGGAUUUAGAAUGACCCCUGUAGAACCCAUGUAGUGUGAAGAGCCAAAGACAAGGGAGAAAACUAGAAGCCAGGGGAAUAUAGUGUCCCAGAGGCCAAGGGAACAGAGGGCUGGAGGGAUUGCUCAACAACGGCUAGUAGGGAAGUAAGAUAAGAGGCAGCUGGAAAAUGCCCACUGGAUUAAGUGACAUGGAGGGAGCUUUGUGGCUUUAGCAAGAGAUAUUUCAGUGGACUGAAGAGAGCAGAAGCUAGACUGAAGUGGACUGCGGUGGGGCUUGUAGGGAAGGGAAGGGAGUAAGUGAGCAGAAGCAACUUUCUAGAAGAGGUGGUAGAGCGGAAGUUUAUAGACAGGGAGUUGGCAAAUGUGGAGUCAGGGGGAUGGUUCUGGUUCAUUUAAUGGUUGCGUGUGAAUGGUUCCUGCCUGCGAAAGCCUGAGGAUUUCAUUGCAAGGGGAUGGUUAAAUAAAAGAGAGAUGUGACCGUCCAACCUCACCUACAGAAGAUCGGGAAGCAAAACAGGUUGCAGAGGGCAGAGGCUCCGGGAUUCCGCAGCUCCUGCUCUAGCCUGGAUUUUUUUGAACCUCAGUGACCUGCCCGAGGCCAGAUGCCCUGACCUGGAAUGCCUUCCAUCCCUCCUUUUCUUGGCAUCUCUCCUCCCUGCUGUCUGGCUUACCCUGAGCCCCUUUGCUACAGCCUGCUCAGCUGUUUUCUCAGCUUUGUUCACCCACUGUUAAGUUAUUAACUUGUCAGGGUCCAGACUCCCCACUUCCUUUCCCACUUGGAACCCACUGUUGGCUCCCUUCCUGUUCGCUGCCUCGCAAAGUCAGCAUUUGGAAGCCUGGGGUUAUUCGGCGGGUCAUUACUGGCAGCCACACAGAAGUACAAUUAAUGUAAUUGGUAUAGAAUGAUGAAGGCUUCUUAAAGAUGUUAACGCAACUGGAAAAGGAAUAAGAAACACAACCAUCUCUCCAUUAUCUUGAAGGUGGAGGCAAAUGCUAUCUUUCAGAUCAUUCAGAGCAUAAGGAUGGGCAUGUGAGGAGGCCUGGGGCUUUGACACUGCCCCUCCCUCUGGAGGGCGGAGGACCACUUAAGCUUUUAGCCGGGGAUCUGUGGGAAGCAAACAAGCCACACAGAAUAGAAAAAAAGGCUCCCUCCAUUGUUCCCUGAUCACUUCACCGUGGAUGUCAGACCAAACUGCCUUCUCACAGGACAUCUUGGUACAUCCGUGUUCUGGAGCAGAAAGGACAUUUGGCUUUUCUGUCGGGGGAUUGGUAGCUCCCAGGUGUCUGCAGCCGUGCUGUCUGGUUCUGCCCCUGGUCUCACUGAUGUAUGCAUGGGGUCCUCCGAAUGAUCAGCGGUUUACUUUCCAUGGAUACAACCUCUCCUCCAUUGGGAAUCGGUUUUACAAAUAAAUGUCUU
Molecule: RNA transcript, 4619 nt
Organism: Ailuropoda melanoleuca (giant panda)
Lineage: Eukaryota; Metazoa; Chordata; Mammalia; Carnivora; Ursidae
Gene: SERP2
Gene name: stress associated endoplasmic reticulum protein family member 2
Exons: 4
Source: RefSeq, a predicted model, not a curated record